Molecule: ribosomal RNA, 870 nt
Filed under: Escherichia coli
Lineage: Bacteria; Pseudomonadati; Pseudomonadota; Gammaproteobacteria; Enterobacterales; Enterobacteriaceae
Description: partial 23S ribosomal RNA
Rfam family: Bacterial large subunit ribosomal RNA
Source: RNAcentral
CCGGUAAACGGCGGCCGUAACUAUAACGGUCCUAAGGUAGCGAAAUUCCUUGUCGGGUAAGUUCCGACCUGCACGAAUGGCGUAAUGAUGGCCAGGCUGUCUCCACCCGAGACUCAGUGAAAUUGAACUCGCUGUGAAGAUGCAGUGUACCCGCGGCAAGACGGAAAGACCCCGUGAACCUUUACUAUAGCUUGACACUGAACAUUGAGCCUUGAUGUGUAGGAUAGGUGGGAGGCUUGGAAGUGUGGACGCCAGUCUGCAUGGAGCCGACCUUGAAAUACCACCCUUUAAUGUUUGAUGUUCUAACGUUGACCCGUAAUCCGGGUUGCGGACAGUGUCUGGUGGGUAGUUUGACUGGGGCGGUCUCCUCCUAAAGAGUAACGGAGGAGCACGAAGGUUGGCUAAUCCUGGUCGGACAUCAGGAGGUUAGUGCAAUGGCAUAAGCCAGCUUGACUGCGAGCGUGACGGCGCGAGCAGGUGCGAAAGCAGGUCAUAGUGAUCCGGUGGUUCUGAAUGGAAGGGCCAUCGCUCAACGGAUAAAAGGUACUCCGGGGAUAACAGGCUGAUACCGCCCAAGAGUUCAUAUCGACGGCGGUGUUUGGCACCUCGAUGUCGGCUCAUCACAUCCUGGGGCUGAAGUAGGUCCCAAGGGUAUGGCUGUUCGCCAUUUAAAGUGGUACGCGAGCUGGGUUUAGAACGUCGUGAGACAGUUCGGUCCCUAUCUGCCGUGGGCGCUGGAGAACUGAGGGGGGCUGCUCCUAGUACGAGAGGACCGGAGUGGACGCAUCACUGGUGUUCGGGUUGUCAUGCCAAUGGCACUGCCCGGUAGCUAAAUGCGGAAGAGAUAAGUGCUGAAAGCAUCUAAGCACG